GACGAACGCUGGCGGCGUGCUUAACACAUGCAAGUCGAACGAUGAACCCGGAGCUUGCUCUGGGGGAUUAGUGGCGAACGGGUGAGUAACACGUGAGUAACCUGCCCUGGACUCUGGGAUAAGCGUUGGAAACGACGUCUAAUACCGGAUAGGACCUUGGAUCGCAUGAUCUGGGGUGGAAAGUUUUUUCGGUCUGGGAUGGACUCGCGGCCUCUCAGCUUGUUGGUGAGGUAAUGGCGCACCCAGGCGUCGACGGGUAGCCGGCCUGAGAGGGUGACCGGCCACACUGGGACUUAGACACGGCCCAGACUCCUGCGGGAGGCAGCCGUGGGGAAUAUGGCACAAGGGGCGAAAGCCUGAGGCAGCAACGCCGCGUGCGAGAUUACGGCCUUCUGAUUGGAAACCGCUAUUAGUAGGAAAGAAUGGCUACGGCUUGACGGUACCUGCAGAAAAAGGACCGGCUAACUACGUG
This 472-nucleotide ribosomal RNA is filed under the name uncultured bacterium. RNAcentral describes it as "partial 16S ribosomal RNA". It matches the Rfam family "Bacterial small subunit ribosomal RNA", at positions 28 to 507 of the family's 1533-position model. The record is from RNAcentral.